Molecule: unclassified non-coding RNA, 253 nt
Filed under: uncultured Pseudobdellovibrionaceae bacterium
Lineage: Bacteria; Pseudomonadati; Bdellovibrionota; Bdellovibrionia; Bdellovibrionales; Pseudobdellovibrionaceae
Description: uncultured Bdellovibrionaceae bacterium contains 16S-23S intergenic spacer region
Rfam family: Bacterial small subunit ribosomal RNA
Source: RNAcentral
UACAGAGGCCUCAAACGUUGUUCGGAAUUACUGGGCGUAAAGCGGGUGUAGGUGGCUAUGCAAGUCAGAUGUGAAAGCCCUGGGCUCAACCCAGGAAGUGCGUCUGAUACUGCGUAGCUAGAGUGCGAUAGAGGGUAGUGGAAUUCCUAGUGUAGGGGUGAAAUCCGUAGAUAUUAGGAGGAAUACCAAUGGCGAAGGCAGCUUCCUGGUUCGUCACUGACACUCAGACCCGAAAGCGUGGGGAGCAAACAGG